RNAcentral lists this transfer RNA (40 nucleotides) under Campeiostachys tsukushiensis. RNAcentral's name for it is "Elymus tsukushiensis partial tRNA-Phe". Lineage: Eukaryota; Viridiplantae; Streptophyta; Magnoliopsida; Poales; Poaceae. The record is from RNAcentral.
GUCAGAGUAGCUCAGUUGGUAGAGCAGAGGACUGAAAAUC